This is a long non-coding RNA of Clupea harengus (Atlantic herring), 994 nucleotides long. NCBI's taxonomy places the organism in Eukaryota, Metazoa, Chordata, Actinopteri, Clupeiformes, Clupeidae. The record is from Ensembl.
UAAGGCGUGAGUAGAGGGUAGUGAAGGGGGUGCAAAUCCACCCCCAAAGAGCCAAGAGAUUUCAGAUCAUGAGCUGACAAGAGUCUGAAGCCUCCAGGUUCCCACAAGAUCCCACCCGACACUAAAAAUACCCCGGGCCGUUCUGGAGCUUCUGUAAUCAAGAACAUCUUUUUUUUCACAUCUUCCACUCGCCCAAUAGAUUUUGUUUUGGCAACAGAUUAAUGUCUUAGCCUUCGUGAACCAUUACUGUAUAUCAUGCUGCAGGUACAGCUAUACUCCUAGACAGCGUCCUUACUCAGAAGGCCGAAAUAAACCCUGACAUCAUUCCAUCAGACUUCCACGAGCUAAGCACCUCCUCAGAAAAGGCUACAUGUGUUUAACAUCUUGUUGCAACAUCUUGCUUGCUGUAUUUUUAGAGUGGAAACCACAGAGAUGUGUAAAGAGUGACAGUGCUUCGUCUGAGACUGUAAUGGUGCAGGCCAUUGUUGGCUGCAGCUGUUGCAUGUAGGGGGAACAGAAGGACGAGACUUGGGAAGGGCAGGGAAUCCCAGAUGUAUGCGAGGAUGCAGGGCUCCCUGGAGAGAGACAGAGGUGCGGGGAAGACAAUCCAACAGACAUGACAGACCUCGGCCAUUGUCCGUGGUUUGACCACGGCAGCGGACAAUGGAUGUCCUCAAGCGUGAACUGUCACAGACAUCUCAGGCAGUUGGCCAUUACAGAGGAAGUGACAGAGGUGGGGAGCAUGGACGGGAAAAGGAAGAAAAGCCCUGAAAAUGAAGGAGUCGAGUCAUAAUGCUGAGUCAUGAGGGAGAGGAAGGCAAAGCAGACGCCUGAAGAAAUACACAAAAAUGGCACAACACUGAAAAAUACACCCAUCUCGGAUUGUUUAAAUAUUUGUCUAAAAUGGGUUCGAUUUAAUUUCAUACAUGUUACCUUUUAGGUAAUGAAUCCCAAUACAUGCCCUGAGACAAACAGCUGAAGGAAUAGCAACAUG